RNAcentral lists this transfer RNA (72 nucleotides) under Phrynosoma platyrhinos (Desert horned lizard). RNAcentral describes it as "tRNA-OTHER". Lineage: Eukaryota; Metazoa; Chordata; Lepidosauria; Squamata; Phrynosomatidae. The record is from RNAcentral.
GCCAGCGUGGCGUAGUGGUUUGAGUGUUGGACUACAACUCUGGAGACCAGGGUUCGAUUCCCAGCUCAGCCA